RNAcentral lists this long non-coding RNA (1322 nucleotides) under Panax ginseng (ginseng). RNAcentral describes it as "long non-coding RNA (PGIN_LNC014833)". Lineage: Eukaryota; Viridiplantae; Streptophyta; Magnoliopsida; Apiales; Araliaceae. The record is from RNAcentral.
UGAAUUAUUUUAUAUAGAACUAACUACUAAGCUUAUGGGAGUUCAUUGUAUAUCAUUUACAUUGUUACCAUAAUAUUACUAUCAGAAGAGAGUUCAUUUAGAUAGGAGAGAUUUUAUGGAUUUGAAUUCUUUCAUAUACUAACAUUUUAGAUACAUUAACUAAACAUAAAUGAUAAGCUACACUACACUACACAUGCCAUUUUAUAUAAUGGACAAAAAAAAUGUCUGAAUUGUGAUUCGCGAUUUACUUUAUUUCUUGGAGUGGACAGCUAAAUUCUGUUUUAGCUAAAGUAUGGCUGUCCAUCCUCUAAUGUUAUGUUUGGUUGGCGGGAAUGGAAUGACCAUUCCUUCCGGAAUAACUUAAAACAUGUUUGGUUAGUCAAUUGAAAUGAGCAUUUCAUUCCUUUAGUUAUUCCAUUUCCAUUUGAAUGAUAUUUUUCAUUCCUUUCUAAAUAGGUGGGUUUACUUUAUUCCCUUCCGGCUUCGUUGAUUUUUCACCUGACUUUAUCCUCUUCCAUUGAUCGAACUUUUCAUUCUCACCUCUCUACGGUAGCUUUUCUUCACGGUACCUUCUCUCCCUACCUUUCUCCCAUCGAUCGAAGAAACAAAUUAGCACCAAUCUCGUUCUCAUAUCCAAUUGAUCGAGCAAAUCGCUGCAGGAGAAUAAAGGUAUUAUCAAUCUAGUUCUCUUCAUCAUUCUCGUUCAAUAUCUUCACCAAUCUCGUUCUCAUAUCCAAUUGAUCUACAUACCAUAAUUAGCACUUGAAUCUAGCUUUUUGUUGGGAAACAAACAUAUCACGACAUAGAGAAAUAGAAAAUUGAGAAUUUAGAACACAAUCACACAACACAAGAAUUAUAGUGGAAACUCUAAAGACCGGAGAAAAAAUCACUUUCGUUGACAAAGACAACCAGAGAAAAUUUUCUAUUUGAAUAAUAUUACAAUCACUCACAAGAAUAAUUCUUCCCAAGACCACACAAAAUUCUCUGACACUUGAAUACUUCUUAUCCUUCAAUCUUUGGAUCGGUGCAACUCUCGGAUGGAAUGGUUCUCCCCAAUUCCAUCCCCCCUUAUCUUCUCUGGGAUGAGUCUAGUACUCUCUUCUACCCCUCCACCAGGAUGGGAUCCUCUCACCAAGGAUUGUCUCUCCUCAUUUCUCUCCUCUCGGAUAGGGUGUCUUCACACUUCCUUCUUUCACUUGGCAGCCUUGAUUAAACAGAAAAGGCAAAAGCCUUUUCUCUCUCCUCCAUGAUGCAGCCAGCUUGCAAAGGAAACGAAUUCCUUUUUCUUCUCCUUAAUUAAUGGGUUCCCCUUUUUCUUCUCC